Molecule: unclassified non-coding RNA, 309 nt
Filed under: Spiroplasma sp. BE0801
Lineage: Bacteria; Bacillati; Mycoplasmatota; Mollicutes; Entomoplasmatales; Spiroplasmataceae
Also listed under: 1 other name
Description: 16S-23S ribosomal RNA intergenic spacer
Source: RNAcentral
CUAUGGAGUUAAUACUUUAUAGUAAUUAACUAGUUUUAAUGACCGUUAUGUUUAGUUUUCAGAGAUUAGUUUCUCUGACAAUAACAAGUAAAUGUUAUUGGAAUUGUUCUUUGAAAACUGGAUAAUAGACAUCUAGUUAUUUUAAUCACAUGAUUAAAAUAACAAUAAUUCAAAAUUUCUGUUAUUUUUAAAAAAUAACUAAAAUUUCACAGUUAUAUUUGUAAAUGAUUCUCAAAAAACUGAUUUAAAAUCAGGUCAAAUAAUUUAUAAAACUUUGAAGUUACAAAGGGCGUAUGGUGAAUGCCUUGG